Mauremys reevesii (Reeves's turtle) is the source of this 246-nucleotide long non-coding RNA. RefSeq lists it as uncharacterized. Lineage: Eukaryota; Metazoa; Chordata; Testudines; Geoemydidae. The record is from RefSeq and is a predicted model, not a curated record. The transcript has 3 exons.
UUCGCUCCAGAUCAUCCCCUCCUCCCAGGGGGAAGGAAAUGGCUGCAAUGGAGCUGGCUCAGGGGCCGGUGACCUUCGAGGAGGUAGCUGUAUAUUUCACCAAGGAGGAAUGGACUCUGCUGGACCCCACUCAGAGAGCCCUCCACAGGGAUGUCAUGCAGGAGAACUAUGAGACGGUGACCUCACUGGUAGGGUUUCCAGUUUCCAAACCUGAUGUGAUCUCGCAGCUGGAACGAGGGGAAGAGC